ACAGCAGCAGCCGCGGUAAUACAGAGGGUGCGAGCGUUAAUCGGAUUUACUGGGCGUAAAGCGUGCGUAGGCGGCUUUUUAAGUCGGAUGUGAAAUCCCUGAGCUUAACUUAGGAAUUGCAUUCGAUACUGGGAAGCUAGAGUAUGGGAGAGGAUGGUAGAAUUCCAGGUGUAGCGGUGAAAUGCGUAGAGAUCUGGAGGAAUACCGAUGGCGAAGGCAGCCAUCUGGCCUAAUACUGACGCUGAGGUACGAAAGCAUGGGGAGCAAACAGGAUUAGAUACCCGAGUAGUCCCUGUCUCUUAUAC
Molecule: ribosomal RNA, 305 nt
Filed under: uncultured bacterium
Lineage: Bacteria
Description: partial 16S ribosomal RNA
Rfam family: Bacterial small subunit ribosomal RNA
Source: RNAcentral